AAAACGCCGUCUUAGCAUGCAAGUCGAGCGGCAAGGAGGAGCAAUCCUCCCUAGAGCGGCGGACUGGUGAGUAACACGUGGGUGAUCUACCUAUAGGUUGGGGAUAGCCAUUAGAAAUAGUGGGUAAUACCGAAUGUGGUUGCGGGGUUUUGAUCCUGCAAAGAAAGGAGCUACGGCUCCGCCUGUAGAUGAGCCCGCGUCCCAUUAGCUAGUUGGGGGUGUAACGGACCACCAAGGCGAUGAUGGGUAGCCGGCCUGAGAGGGUGAACGGCCACACUGGGACUGAGAUACGGCCCAGACUCCUACGGGAGGCAGCAGCUAAGAAUAUUCCGCAAUGGACGAAAGUCUGACGGAGCGACGCCGCGUGGAUGAGGAAGGCCGAAAGGUUGUAAAGUCCUUUUGUCGAUGAAGAAUAAGCGGUGGAGGGAAUGCCAUCGUGAUGACGUUAGUCGGCGAAUAAGCCCCGGCUAAUUACGUGCCAGCAGCCGCGGUAACACGUAAGGGGCAAGCGUUGUUCGGAAUUAUUGGGCGUAAAGGGCGCGUAGGCGGACCUGCAAGCCCGGCGUGAAAUCCUGGAGCUUAACUCCGGAACUGCGCUGGGAACUGCGGGACUAGAGUCAUGGAGGGGGAGUUGGAAUUCCAGGUGUAGGGGUGAAAUCUGUAGAUAUCUGGAAGAACACCGGUGGCGAAGGCGAACUUCUAGCCAAUGACUGACGCUGAGGCGCGAAAGUGCGGGGAGCAAACAGGAUUAGAUACCCUGGUAGUCCGCACAGUAACGAUGCACACUAAGGUGUUGGGUCGAGCGACUCGGUGCCGAAGC
RNAcentral lists this ribosomal RNA (820 nucleotides) under uncultured Spirochaeta sp. RNAcentral describes it as "bacterial SSU rRNA". It matches the Rfam family "Bacterial small subunit ribosomal RNA", at positions 39 to 852 of the family's 1533-position model. Lineage: Bacteria; Pseudomonadati; Spirochaetota; Spirochaetia; Spirochaetales; Spirochaetaceae. The record is from RNAcentral.